Molecule: ribosomal RNA, 495 nt
Filed under: uncultured bacterium
Lineage: Bacteria
Description: partial 16S ribosomal RNA
Rfam family: Bacterial small subunit ribosomal RNA
Source: RNAcentral
GAUGAACGCUGGCGGCGUGCCUAAUACAUGCAAGUCGAACGCUGAAGGAGGAGCUUGCUCUUCUGGAUGAGUUGCGAACGGGUGAGUAACGCGUAGGUAACCUGCCCGGUAGCGGGGGAUAACUAUUGGAAACGAUAGCUAAUACCGCAUGACAGCAGCUACUGCAUGAUAACUGUUUAAAAGGGGCAGCUGCUCCACUACCAGACGGAGCUGCGUUGCAUUAGCUAGUUGGUGAGGCAAAGGCGCACCAUGGCGGCGAACCAGAGCACGCCUGGGAGGGGGGGCAGCCAGCCUGGGAGGGAGACACGGCCCAGACUCCUACGGGAGGCGGCAGGAGGGAAACGUCGGGAAUGGGCGGGAGACUGACCGAAAAGGGCCGCGGGAGGAAAGAAGGUUGUCGGGUCGGGAAGCUCGGUUGUAGGGGAGGAACGAGUGUGAGAGUGGAAAGUUCACACUGUGACGGUAACUGACCAGAAAGGAACGGCUAACUACGUG